ACAGGCUUAACACAUGCAAGUCGAGGGGCAGCAUGGUCUUAGCUUGCUAAGGCUGAUGGCGACCGGCGCACGGGUGAGUAACACGUAUCCAACCUGCCGUCUACUCUUGGCCAGCCUUCUGAAAGGAAGAUUAAUCCAGGAUGGGAUCAUGAGUUCACAUGUCCGCAUGAUUAAAGGUAUUUUCCGGUAGACGAUGGGGAUGCGUUCCAUUAGAUAGUAGGCGGGGUAACGGCCCACCUAGUCAACGAUGGAUAGGGGUUCUGAGAGGAAGGUCCCCCACAUUGGAACUGAGACACGGUCCAAACUCCUACGGGAGGCAGCAGUGAGGAAUAUUGGUCAAUGGGCGAUGGCCUGAACCAGCCA
RNAcentral lists this ribosomal RNA (363 nucleotides) under uncultured bacterium. RNAcentral describes it as "bacterial SSU rRNA". It matches the Rfam family "Bacterial small subunit ribosomal RNA", at positions 43 to 394 of the family's 1533-position model. The record is from RNAcentral.